Molecule: long non-coding RNA, 345 nt
Organism: Papaver somniferum (opium poppy)
Lineage: Eukaryota; Viridiplantae; Streptophyta; Magnoliopsida; Ranunculales; Papaveraceae
Exons: 3
Source: RefSeq, a predicted model, not a curated record
GAAGAGGUGGAGAAUACUAUUGGUCCCUAUGUUUCUCAAGCGAUUCACAAGGCAGUAAAUGGUGGUUAUAAAAGUUCACAAGAAGUAUAUGAUGAUUACAAAAUCUUCACUCAUGCUCUUAUUCAAUUGGUAAAGGGACAGGAUAAGCCUGAGAUUGGACACUAUGCUGAUGAGUAUUUCCUUCACGCAGCACUGUUGGAAAAGAAAAAGAUGCUUCAGUGGUUUUCGAACAUGUUAUCUGAUGAAUCACUUGGAAAGGUCGACAGAGAUUGGAUCAACGAUCAACUGGUGGAGGACAAAAAUUCUGAACAUUUUCGUUUGGAUGAAAUACAGUUAAAUACUUGC